Molecule: ribosomal RNA, 301 nt
Filed under: uncultured bacterium
Lineage: Bacteria
Description: partial 16S ribosomal RNA
Rfam family: Bacterial small subunit ribosomal RNA
Source: RNAcentral
CAGUCGCCACGGUAAAACGUAGGUGGCAAGCGUUGUCCGGAAUUAUUGGGCGUAAAGGGCUCGCAGGCGGUUUCUUAAGUCUGAUGUGAAAGCCCCCGGCUCAACCGGGGAGGGUCAUUGGAAACUGGGAAACUUGAGUGCAGAAGAGGAGAGUGGAAUUCCACGUGUAGCGGUGAAAUGCGUAGAGAUGUGGAGGAACACCAGUGGCGAAGGUGACUCUCUGGUCUGUAACUGACGCUGAGGAGCGAAAGCGUGGGGAGCGAACAGGAUUAGAUACCCCAGUAGUCCCUGUCUCUUAUAC